GACUAACGCUGGCGGCGUGCCUAACACAUGCAAGUCGAACGAGUAGCAAUACUAGUGGCAGACGGGUGAGUAACGCGUAGGUAAUGUGCCUUCUUACUGGGGAUACCGUUCCGAAAGGAGCGUUAAUACCGAAUGUGACGGAGACGGGGCAUCCCGAUUUCGUUAAACUGUCAGGGUGAGAAGAGCAGCCUGCGUUCUAUCAGCUUGUUGGUGGGGUAAUGGCCUACCAAGGCUACGACGGAUAGCCGGUCUGAGAGGAUGAUCGGCCACACUGGGACUGAGACACGGCCCAGACUCCUACGGGAGGCAGCAGUGAGGAAUAUUGCGCAAUGGGCGAAAGCCUGACGCAGCGACGCCGCGUGAGGGAUGAAGGCCU
RNAcentral lists this ribosomal RNA (376 nucleotides) under uncultured bacterium. RNAcentral describes it as "bacterial SSU rRNA". It matches the Rfam family "Bacterial small subunit ribosomal RNA", at positions 28 to 417 of the family's 1533-position model. The record is from RNAcentral.